UGCUGACUCGUGCGGUGGGUGCUGCUUACAACGCUCUGCAGGGCAGGUGAUGUGCCAGACAGUGAAGGACACAAGGAGAAGAACCCCUGCUCUAAGCCCAGCAAUUUUCCAGCUGUAAAUGGGGCAGAUUGGGUCUGAGCGCUCCCAGCUGCCAGCCUAUCUAUACAGUAUGAUGCAGGUUUUCACCUGAAAGCAGCUGUGUCUCCUCCCAAGGGCUGCUUGCUUUGUUCAGCCCUGCCACGACCAGCCCUCAGGAGGAGAUGCACACCUGCAAGGAUUUAUGCAAUGGAACCAUCAAUCUUCAGCCUCUCUUCAUGAAUCUCAAAAGAGGAGUCAGCC
Long non-coding RNA from Gallus gallus (chicken), 339 nucleotides. Lineage: Eukaryota; Metazoa; Chordata; Aves; Galliformes; Phasianidae. The record is from Ensembl.